Molecule: ribosomal RNA, 559 nt
Filed under: Tiramieua clavata
Lineage: Eukaryota; Metazoa; Arthropoda; Insecta; Coleoptera; Staphylinidae
Description: partial large subunit ribosomal RNA
Rfam family: Bacterial large subunit ribosomal RNA (bases 406-559)
Source: RNAcentral
GCCCUUCGCCUGUUUAUCAAAAACAUGUCUUUUUGAUUAUAAUUUAAAGUCUAAUCUGCCCACUGAUAUUUUAAAUGGCCGCAGUAUUUUGACUGUGCAAAGGUAGCAUAAUAAUUAGUUUUUUUAUUGAAAGCUUGUAUGAAUGAUUAAAUGAGAAAAAUUCUGUCUCUAGUUAAAAUAAAUAGAAUUUUAUUUUUAAGUUAAAAAGCUUAAAUUAUAUUAAAAGACGAGAAGACCCUAUAGAGCUUUAUAUAUUUAUAAUAAAUAUUUUAUUUUAAUAUUAUGUUUUAUAAAAAAUAUAUUUUGUUGGGGUGAUUGAGAAGUUUAUUAAACCUUUUUUUUAUAAUAACAAAUUUAAUUGAUUAAUUGAUCCUUUAUUAGAUUAUAAGAUUAAGUUACCUUAAGGAUAACAGCGUAAUUUUUUUGGAGAGUUCAUAUCUAUAAAAAAGUUUGCGACCUCGAUGUUGGAUUAAGAUUAAUUUUAAAUGAAGAAGUUUAAAUUUUAAGUCUGUUCGACUUUUAAAAUCUUACAUGAUCUGAGUUCAAACCGGAGAAGGGC